This 270-nucleotide ribosomal RNA is filed under the name uncultured bacterium. RNAcentral describes it as "partial 16S ribosomal RNA". It matches the Rfam family "Bacterial small subunit ribosomal RNA", at positions 355 to 617 of the family's 1533-position model. The record is from RNAcentral.
UAGGGAAUCUUCCACAAUGGACGCAAGUCUGAUGGAGCAACGCCGCGUGAGUGAAGAAGGCUUUCGGGUCGUAAAACUCUGUUAUUGAAGAAGAACGUGCGUGACAGUAACUGGUCAUGCAGUGACGGUAUUCAAUCAGAAAGUCACGGCUAACUACGUGCCAGCAGCCGCGGUAAUACGUAGGUGGCAAGCGUUGUCCGGAUUUAUUGGGCGUAAAGCGAGUGCAGGCGGUCUUUUAAGUCUGAUGUGAAAGCCUUCGGCUUAACCGAA